UACGAACUGUGCAAACGUUAUUCGGAAUCACUGGGCUUACAGGGUGCGUAGGCGGCUUGUUAAGUAGGGUGUGAAAGCCCCCGGCUCAACCGGGGAAUUGCGCCCUAAACUGGCGAGCUGGAGUGAGAUAGGGGUGUGUGGAACUUCCGGUGGAGCGGUGAAAUGUGUUGAUAUCGGAAGGAACGCCGGUGGCGAAAGCGACACACUGGAUCUUGUCUGACGCUGAGGCACGAAAGCCAAGGGAGCGAACGGG
RNAcentral lists this ribosomal RNA (253 nucleotides) under uncultured bacterium. RNAcentral's name for it is "partial 16S ribosomal RNA". It matches the Rfam family "Bacterial small subunit ribosomal RNA", at positions 524 to 776 of the family's 1533-position model. The record is from RNAcentral.